This is a non-coding RNA of Paramuricea clavata, 1362 nucleotides long. The record is from the annotation of a GenBank genome assembly. NCBI's taxonomy places the organism in Eukaryota, Metazoa, Cnidaria, Anthozoa, Malacalcyonacea, Plexauridae.
GUCUUCUUUGGACGUACUUAGUUUGCAAAUUGCAAGACAAACAUCGAAUCAUAGUUAUUCGAAUAAAGUCAUCGCUAUUGUUUUCAAUUUCAUCAUCAGACACCACACGUGUCUUGCAAUUCAAACAUAUAUAUAUUGUUUAUCGACGUCAAUAAUGCAUCCCUCAAGGUAUGCAGGCUUAAAUAUAGCAGAAGGAAUGCCUUGCAUAGACUAGAGUAACAAUGCUAAACAAAUAAUGUUUUAAAAGUGCACAUUAUUUUGUUGAUACAUUAUAUAUGCUCUCAUAAGGGACGGACCAUUAGAAAAGUGAUGGGGGGGGGGGGGUUAAUUUUUUUAUGUUUGUAUUUUUUUCCAUUUUGGCAGCUGUGUAUGCAUGUUUUUUUUAAAAUAUGUCUUCUCGCAUGCAAUUUUUUUUUCCAAUACAGCUAUACAAAUGUUAACGAAACUGUUCUCUUGACAAAAAAUAUCCCUUUAAUGCACACUGCAAAAUAAUAUCUUUAAGGAUAUUUUAGGCUAAACCAGAUAUCAUUUAGUGAUAUAAGUAUGGCAGAACAAAUGAGCAAAAGGAAGAAGAAACAAAACAUGAUAAAAGAAAAGAGCAAGAUUAAGUAGAGGAAAAGAAAAUGUAGCAGAAGAUAUUGCCAUUGAGAUUAUAUUUAUAGAUCAGGAAGAUAGUGUCAGUUUGAUAGAUGAAGAGGAUAGUGGUAGUUUGAUUGUAGAUGAAGAAGAUAGUGUCAGUUUGAUUGUAGAUGAAGAAGAUAGUGUCAGUUUGAUUGUAAAUGAAGUGUAAAGUGGUAGUUUGGUUGUAGAUCAAGAAGAUAGUGUCAGUUUAAUUGUAGAUCAAGGGAAAAGUGGUAGUUUGGUUGUAGAUCAAGAAGAUAGUGGCACUGCGAUUUCAGGGGCCCCCGGUUCAAAACUUUCGAAGGCCCCCCUAGUAGAAGUGUCAAAGGAACAAGUCAAGCGCCAUAUAUGCACAAGUUUUCUAGGGGGUCCAGAGCAUGCUCACCCGGAAAAUUUUUGAAUCUAGAUUCUCUGAAAUACCAUUUCCCGGAGUUUGGGGAGAGAUUUUACAGAGUUCUGAUGGUCAGAAAACGACAUUGUAACAUAUCAGAGGCCCUGGCCAAUGUUUUUGCUCUAUAGCCUGACCCUGGGGCCCCCAUUUGGCCCAUUGGGGUUGGAGGCCCCCGGGUUCUCCCGGUCCGAGCCCAUAGUAGUUACGCCACUGAUCGAGGACAGUGGCAGUGUGAACGAGGAUUAUUAAAGACAAUAGAAAAUAUUUUGAUAGUAUAUAAUAAAACUAUAUAAGAGUUACUGUUAAUAUUGAAAGAAAUUGCAUAUUAAUAUAUAAUAUAUUUAUAUAUU